CACACCAUGAAAGUCGGCUGUACCAGAAGUCGCUGCGCUAACCGUAAGGGGGCAGGCGCCCAAGGUAUGGUCAAUGAUUGGGGUG
This 85-nucleotide ribosomal RNA is filed under the name uncultured bacterium. Its description in RNAcentral is "partial 16S ribosomal RNA". The record is from RNAcentral.